This 2406-nucleotide unclassified non-coding RNA is filed under the name Drosophila ananassae. Its description in RNAcentral is "GF22357". Lineage: Eukaryota; Metazoa; Arthropoda; Insecta; Diptera; Drosophilidae. The record is from RNAcentral.
GCAGGAGCAGGAGCAGGACUACAGCGAGAUAUAGUAGAGGAGCCAGGAGAGGAGCUAUCACAAGGAUGGCCGGGCCGCAAGUCCAGCACAGUCAGCGACCGAACAGCGCCUACUACACGGGCCUCAAUGGCAGUGGAACUAGUGGCGCCUCCGCCUCCGCUUCCGCCAGUGGCAUGGCCACCAGUGCCUCCCACACCGGACUCCAUGCCCUGCGGCAGGUGAGCAACGAAACGGAGCUCAUCUAUCGGGGAAGUCACAGCAAUGGAACGGUCAACGAGCUGCCCUCCACCGCCCACCACCUGCUCACAGGACGACUGCCCCAACAGAAGCCGCAACAGCAGCAGACGCAGCAGCUGCCACCGAGGCAACAAGUGAGCAGUAUAGCCGGCACCGGAUCGAGUGCCACAGAUGCCCUGAUCAAUACCAUUACCUCCGGAGGAGGAGGAGGAGGUGGCACUGGAGGAGGUGGCACUCCGUCGGGGGCAGGCACUAGCAGCACCGCUCUGGGCCUCAAAAAAUCAAACACACAGCGCAGCAUCGAAAUCAUUGUGGAUGCCAGCCAGUGCGGCAAGGAGCUGGCCACCACCACCAACAAUGCCGGGGGCAGUGCCACCGCCCUGGAUGCCGGUGACGAUGUGGAACAGGGCGGUGGGGGGCAGGAGUCCUCCUCCUCGCAUAGGAAGUCCUCGAGGCAUCGCCAUCGACCCCUGCACCGCCGACUCAUCAGCUACCUGAGGAAUCUCUUCCAGGGCAGCACCACCCAGAAUGCUCGGAGAAUCCUUUUGGUUGCCUGGGAUUGCAUCGUCAAUCAUUCAGAACUAGAGGAGUUUGAAACACCGGCCAGGUACAGGCCCGACUCGCUAAGCGCCCUCAGUCGAGCCACCCGAUUCACCGAGGACGAGAUCAAACGAAUUUAUAGAGGAUUCAAGGCCGAGUGCCCAACUGGCGUCGUCAAGGAGGACACCUUCAAAGUGAUCUACUCACAGUUCUUCCCACAGGGAGCCAAUCCAACCCUAUACGCACACUAUGUAUUUAAUACACUGGAUCAGGAUCACAGCGGCAUUGUCAGCUUCGAGGACUUUGUCCAAGGACUCUCGAUACUUUCGCGCGGCUCGGUGGAGGAGAAGCUGCGCUGGACCUUCUCGCUGUACGACAUCAACGGCGAUGGCUUCAUUACGAGGGAGGAAAUGACUGACAUUGUGACUGCCAUAUACGAGCUGAUGGGCCGCCUGCCGGACGAGUGUCCCGAGGAGGAGAAGAUCAAGGGCAAGGUGGAGCAGAUCUUUCAGAAAAUGGACAUCAAUCGGGAUGGAGUGGUGACCCUGGAGGAGUUCCUGGAGGCAUGUCGCAACGAUGACGCCAUUUCCGGGUCGAUGUCAGUGUUCGACACAGCGUUCUGACCAUAUCCGACCGACAAGGGCGACGAGUACACGGUGCGCCGUCGACGACGCAGUGGCAGUCGCUCCCAGAAUCCUCGACAGGAUCAGCAGUUCAAGGAUCCGGAAAAACAAAUUUGCAUAGAAACGAAAUGAAAUGCGUAACGGUAACGAGAAACACAACGCGAAUCUGCCAAAAACAAAAAAACAAAAAAAACAAGCAUUCAAAAUACAAAAAUAUGGAAAAAAAAAUUAAAGAAAAAUCUAGGUGCCGAAUGUCCAUAAAUAUCCAAUUAUGGUCUGGUUUGUGGAUCGGCAGGAGAACCUGCAUCUAUUUCAAGAACAAAAAAUACUCCAUUUUUGAUUGGGUUGCACUUAGAGGGUUAAAUUGAGCAUCACAUGUAAGUAAACCGGAAACUGGACUGCUUGCAAGAUGGCGUACAAGAUGGCGCAAUGCAGUAAGCAGUGCAGAAUGAAAGCAGUGCAGUAUUUAAAAUGAACAAGAAAAUGAACAGAAAAUGAACAUGUAUGCUUAUUAACAUACGAAACGAAAGCUUUACACAAUGAAAACUAAAAACUUAACUCUUAAAGAUUUAACGAAAUGAUGAACAAAAAUUUAGACAGAAAUUAAAACUAUAUUUAUACGAUGGAGUAGCUCUCCAAGAAUUCAAAUAAAAUUGAAAGAUGACCAGUUUGAAGGAAAAUUUAAGAUAUACAACUUAGAGAAAUAGGUAUAUGUAUGGCACACACCAACACCACUCCCGUAUAUGUAUAGCAAGCUCGUAGGUAAAUGUGAAAUGUGAAAUUUUGUGGUGUCUAAAUCAAAAUAAUGAAACAAAUACGACUCUCACGCAUAGGCAGAGGCAGAGGCAUACACUGCGUAUGCGUAUUGCGUUGAAUGUUGAAUGUAUUAUUUAUUAUUUCGUUGUUGUUCUUGCCACACAACAGGCUCCAUUAGCAAAUUAGUUGCAACUCAAACUGAAACUAAUGAUGGUGGCAAGAUGGAAUGUCAUCAAGUCGGCCCUGUCGG